UGCUGCUGUCUCUCGGCUUCGAUGAUGUCUCCUCCUGAUGCCCUACAUCAAACCUCAGUUUCAUUUACGGAAUAUCUGUGGUAUUCUUACUCAUUAAGAGGCAACAACAACGUUUCCCUAAGGGCCACCUCAAUUAUUAUGGUUAUAAUUAAAUGCAACUGGCCGCAGGUCUCAUUCACCGUCUCCGUCUCAGACUCAGUCUCGCUCUUUUGGCCAACAGUUUGCAAUUACCAGAUUGUUCCAUUUAACCCAAGAACUGGUGAUAUGAUAAUGAUGAUGAGCAGCAGCAGCAGCAGCAGCAGCAGGAGCCAGGAGUAUCAGCCGCAGAAGCAGCAGGAGACUGCUGCAGCAACAUCUGUAGAAACAAAACAAAAUAAUUUGAUUUAAUUUAAUUUGCCAGCAUGUGCAAAUAAUGUAAAACAUUUCUCAACAUGUAAGUGCCAUUGCAAAUUGACUGCCAGUCAGUCAUUCAGUCAGUCAGUCAGUCAGUCAGUCAGGCGGAGAGCGGCCACAGCCACAGUGGAAAGCGGUGGGAAGCAGCGACAGAUACAACUGCAGCCACAUUUGAGCACCGAUGGAAACAGCAACAGCAACAGCCGCACACCAUCAAGGAGACCACCGACAACAACGCUAGCAACAAAAACAAGCAGCACGGCCACACUGACAGCAACUGGCAAUGGAAUAUUCCUGCAUAUUGUGCAAACAAUAAACAUUGUUAAUUAAUUUACUUCAACUCGAACGACGGCAACUGCACUUUGGCUUACCCCACCGAUAAGGAUGACUUUAAGCUUCUCUGCACACACACACACACACACACACGCACACAAAUUGCGUAAGGGCAUUGGAGGAUAAUGAGGGAGUACUCGUACAUUCCAAAAAUGGGAAAUUGUCGGCCAUUCCGAUUGAAUGAUUGAAGGGAUAGCUUCUUAUCUUGUUGCUGAUCUGGAAAAUGAGAUAAAAUUAAUGAAAUGGAAGGAUCACUAAGGAAGAAGCCUAACAAAAUCAAGGAAAAAGGAUUUACAGGGUUUUAACUGAAGCAAUUGACAGAGAGCUAAAGGACGGCAGAGAUGAAGAGCGGACGCGGCUAAAGUGAGUAAGAGUCGACAAACUGACGGAUUAUAGAGAAGGAACCUCCAACUUUUUUUGCCCAUAAAUUAAGAAGCAACUACAGGGCAGUGCAGCAGCCACUUAGGAUUUACCUUCGCAGCCCACACUCGCAAACAUUUAUGGCCGCACCGGAGGCAAACAACAAAGGCAUUUUAAUUAAAUUAAAUUCGUGCGAAAACAAUUUGAAGAAGAAAUAUAUUUAUAUUUUACGAGCGUGCCCUGCGAAAAACGGGGCAAAUAAAAAGUCCGAGCAGCAGGAACGUGUUGCGACCAGCAAAUUGAGCAGAAGACCAGACCGAUAUACAAUGCCGAAAGACGACCAAUCUGCAGCCGAAAAGGAUGUGCCUGCCAACACAAAAGCGGUUCAUUAAUUGAAUGGGGAAUUACAACAAAGUCAGCGAUAAGUUGUCUAGCCAACCACCGGGCGAGCACUCAGCCAUUCAGCCACUCAACCACUCAACCACUCGAACAAUCAACCACUCAACCUCCUGUGUACCGUGUCCCGUGUCCUGUGUCGGAGUCCGAGUCGGAGACAAACCGCAUUUCUUGGAGCAGGCAGCUGGCCGAAACCCUGGCAACAAAAUGGUCUCCAGUUUCAAGGGUAAUACAAGACGAUAAUUGGAAUCGGAAAAGCAAAGUGCAGUGGACAGCGAGGUGUAUAAUCAUCACUCAAAUUAUGCGUACAGCUCGUACAUAUUUAUAGCAUUGCAAAUUUAAAUGAUAAAUGCUUACACAAAAUGUAACAUACAAAUAAAGGAAUUAAAUAAAAUUUAAA
This is a long non-coding RNA of Drosophila pseudoobscura, 1882 nucleotides long. RefSeq lists it as uncharacterized. The record is from RefSeq and is a predicted model, not a curated record. The transcript is spliced from 7 exons. NCBI's taxonomy places the organism in Eukaryota, Metazoa, Arthropoda, Insecta, Diptera, Drosophilidae.